UACAGAGGGUGCUAGCGUUGUUCGGAAUUACUGGGCGUAAAGGGCGCGUAGGCGGCCUUCUAAGUCGAACGUGAAAUCCCCGGGCUCAACCCGGGAACUGCGUCCGAUACUGGAAGGCUUGAAUCCGGGAGAGGGAUGCGGAAUUCCAGGUGUAGCGGUGAAAUGCGUAGAUAUCUGGAGGAACACCGGUGGCGAAGGCGGCAUCCUGGACCGGCAUUGACGCUGAGGCGCGAAAGCCAGGGGAGCAAACGGG
RNAcentral lists this ribosomal RNA (253 nucleotides) under uncultured bacterium. RNAcentral describes it as "partial 16S ribosomal RNA". It matches the Rfam family "Bacterial small subunit ribosomal RNA", at positions 524 to 776 of the family's 1533-position model. The record is from RNAcentral.